CUUCCCCAGCGCCCCACCGCGACCUGGGGAAGCGCUGAGAUUCGGCAGAGCACGACCCCCAGCCUCCUCAUCCCGGGACCGCGUUCCCCAGGCCUCUCCUCUGGCGGUCGGCAUCCCAAGUGGAGGUCCGGGAGCCCCCUGAGCGGGCUGAGGAGAAGGCGGUCAGGUCGCAGAUUUUCGAGGGGGAAAAACAACGUUGAAAGCUCACUUUCCAAGAGAACCUGCCUGUUGGAUAUGUUGCAGAGCCCUUCUCGGGUGCCUCCUCUAUGCUUACGUCCACUUGUAACCUUUGAGACUAAGGCCUCUACUCUUCCUGGUGACAUCAUCCCUGGGCCCAGUGAUGUGGUCUGCCUGUGAGAGACCAGGAAUAAUUCUCUAAAGUUGGAUCAAUGGAAAGUGACCCUCCAGAUGAAGAUGAGAUACCAGAUCUGGAAUGAGACUGGAAUGAGGGAAAAUGGAGAUAGCAGAUGCGACAGAGUCAUACAACUGCGGAGGACUACUACGCCAGCUCCAAAUACUCAUAAACUUUGUUCUUUAUUUACAAACCUGCAUAGCCCUCCAGGUACCUCGGGGUCCUCAGACAGGUCAGAGUAGAAGGACCACAGGUAGGACUAGAACAAUCAGCCCAGAUGUGAUGGUACUAAUUCAGAAACAGGCAAGAACUUUAAGAAAUAUGAAACUAACAGAGCCUUCGGAGACAUUCAGGACAAUAUUAUAUCCCCAAAAUAAUACUAGACUGCUCAUGGAAGCACCCAUACAAGAAAAGUCUGUAAGGAACUUAAAAUGUAAUUUUUUUACUGAAAUGAAUUACAGAAUUCAAAGGCCCAGCUGAGUAACAGGAUGGACCAAGCAUAUAAUCCACAGGAUGUGCUUGAGGAAAUCUGAACACACACGAAGAACACAGGGGCAGGAUGAAGGGUUUCUGCCUCCGUAGUGCUGGGCAGGGUAAUUCUGACCAGAAACACCAAAAGGCGCAGCAUAUUAAAGUCUCCUGGAAAAUGUGCAAGGACUGAACAAGAUCCCAGGGAAAGAUGGGAAUCUACUUUAGCUCAAAAGGUAUUUGCCAUUGGGGAAGAAGGACUGAGAAGAUUGAGCUGGCUUUGACCCAGGAGCCUGCAAGGGGGAGCCACUCAGUGACCAUGGCUUAACCCCAAAGUCCUGGUGAGCCCAGAAUAAUCAGCUUCACAGAGACUGUAUCCUGGCUGUGCGGCCUUGGGGGGCCCAGAGGUUGGAGGACUGGUUUCGGGUGCUGCUGCCCUCCAGAACAUAGCUCCUUUGCUUUGUCAUUUGUGGUCACUUUGCAUGUAGAGAAAUAAUUGGGAGGCUGGAGCAUAAGUAUCUCCUUGGCAAUAUAUCUUAUUUUUGUUUUGUCCUGCGUUUGGUAACUAUACAUGAAGGACUGAUUGAUUACACCUGUUCAAAGUGAAAAUAGAAUGCAGAUGAAUUCAGCUGCUAACGAAACUGCUCCCAGAAUAGUGUGGUGGGAUAUGAGCAGGUUCACUACUGAUUGUCAUGGUGGUUUUAGUCCUAUCACUGUGAAUUAAAUAUUUACUAUGUGCCAACAUUUAAAGGGUGGCAGAUAACUGGUAACCCAGCAGCCAGUUAUCACCUGCACAUCAGAAGCUGAAGAAGAACAUCCCACCUCAGUCUAUCAGAGCCCUGCUGAGCAUGCCUGCCCCAUCGUAAUCACUCCUUUUUUUCGCAAAUAAAAAUUAUAUGUAUUUAAUGUGAACAAUGUAAUGCUUUGAUAUAUGUACACACUGUGAAAUGAUCAUCAUAUCAACCUAAUUAAUAUCUCC
This is a long non-coding RNA of Eptesicus fuscus (big brown bat), 1799 nucleotides long. RefSeq lists it as uncharacterized. Lineage: Eukaryota; Metazoa; Chordata; Mammalia; Chiroptera; Vespertilionidae. The transcript is spliced from 3 exons. The record is from RefSeq and is a predicted model, not a curated record.